AGGAUCUCACUAUGCAGUUCAGGCUAGCAUUGAAGUCACUAUGUAUCCUAGACUGAUCUCAAACUCGAGGUGAUCUUCCUGCCUCAGCUUCCCUAGUGCUGGGACUACAGGAAGACACAGCUGUUAGCAGGCAGCUUGUGGGCCCUGACGCAAGGAGGCGAAGCCUUCCUGUGAACUUCAGAACACAUGCCAGCCUGCCGCCUGGAGUGGACCAGCUGCCAUCUUGAAUCAUGAAGCUGGGACCUUGGACAGCAGAGCAAGAAGACAGAAGAGACCUGGAUCUCUGGUUAUGGAGAACCAGACAGUCCUGGAUCUUAUACGUGGAUACAUAUAUACAUUAACUUUUGUACUUUUAAAGACACUGUGAUUUAGGUUUUUUUCCUGGUAUUUAUAAACUGAAUCUAAGCAUGCAGAGGAGAAUCUAAGAUGCAGAGGAGAAGGUUGUCUUUUCCCCAAGUUUGUUUAGAAAAAUUGAGGACUGUUAAGAAGCUAUAGGUUAGUCUAAUAUAACUCUUGUGGACUUUGGGCAAAUCAUUAGAUCAAUGAAAUAACCAGCAAGCGUAGAAAGAGUCAG
This 574-nucleotide long non-coding RNA is filed under the name Heterocephalus glaber (naked mole-rat). Its description in RNAcentral is "lncRNA (ENSHGLG00000030566.2)". The record is from RNAcentral. Lineage: Eukaryota; Metazoa; Chordata; Mammalia; Rodentia; Bathyergidae.